This is a small nucleolar RNA of Myodes glareolus (Bank vole), 74 nucleotides long. RefSeq annotates it as small nucleolar RNA SNORD113/SNORD114 family. NCBI's taxonomy places the organism in Eukaryota, Metazoa, Chordata, Mammalia, Rodentia, Cricetidae. The record is from RefSeq and is a predicted model, not a curated record.
GCGACCAAUGAUGAGAUCUGAUGGCGUCUGAGUGUUUCUCAAUGACAGCCACGUGAACAGAUACUGAGGUCAGG